GAUUAAGUUAUUAAGGGCGCACGGUGGAUGCCUUGGCACUAGAAGCCGAUGAAGGACGUUACUAACGACGAUAUGCUUUGGGGAGCUGUAAGUAAGCUUUGAUCCAGAGAUUUCCGAAUGGGGAAACCCAGCAUGAGUUAUGUCAUGUUAUCGAUAUGUGAAUACAUAGCAUAUCAGAAGGCACACCCGGAGAACUGAAACAUCUUAGUACCCGGAGGAAGAGAAAGAAAAUUCGAUUCCCUUAGUAGCGGCGAGCGAAACGGGAAGAGCCCAAACCAACAAGCUUGCUUGUUGGGGUUGUAGGACACUCUAUACGGAGUUACAAAGGACGACAUUAGACGAAUCAUCUGGAAAGAUGAAUCAAAGAAGGUAAUAAUCCUGUAGUCGAAAAUGUUGUCUCUCUUGAGUGGAUCCUGAGUACGACGGAGCACGUGAAAUUCCGUCGGAAUCUGGGAGGACCAUCUCCUAAGGCUAAAUACUCUCUAGUGACCGAUAGUGAACCAGUACCGUGAGGGAAAGGUGAAAAGCACCCCGGAAGGGGAGUGAAAUAGAACCUGAAACCGUGUGCUUACAAGUAGUCAGAGCCCGUUAAUGGGUGAUGGCGUGCCUUUUGUAGAAUGAACCGGCGAGUUACGAUUUGAUGCAAGGUUAAGCAGUAAAUGUGGAGCCGUAGCGAAAGCGAGUCUGAAUAGGGCGUUUAGUAUUUGGUCGUAGACCCGAAACCAGGUGAUCUACCCUUGGUCAGGUUGAAGUUCAGGUAACACUGAAUGGAGGACCGAACCGACUUACGUUGAAAAGUGAGCGGAUGAACUGAGGGUAGCGGAGAAAUUCCAAUCGAACCUGGAGAUAGCUGGUUCUCUCCGAAAUAGCUUUAGGGCUAGCCUCAAGUGAUGAUUAUUGGAGGUAGAGCACUGUUUGGACGAGGGGCCCCUCUCGGGUUACCGAAUUCAGACAAACUCCGAAUGCCAAUUAAUUUAACUUGGGAGUCAGAACAUGGGUGAUAAGGUCCGUGUUCGAAAGGGAAACAGCCCAGACCACCAGCUAAGGUCCCAAAAUAUAUGUUAAGUGGAAAAGGAUGUGGCGUUGCCCAGACAACUAGGAUGUUGGCUUAGAAGCAGCCAUCAUUUAAAGAGUGCGUAAUAGCUCACUAGUCGAGUGACACUGCGCCGAAAAUGUACCGGGGCUAAACAUAUUACCGAAGCUGUGGAUUGUCCUUUGGACAAUGGUAGGAGAGCGUUCUAAGGGC
This 1246-nucleotide ribosomal RNA is filed under the name Staphylococcus aureus. RNAcentral describes it as "partial 23S ribosomal RNA". It matches the Rfam family "Bacterial large subunit ribosomal RNA", at positions 1 to 1248 of the family's 2925-position model. Lineage: Bacteria; Bacillati; Bacillota; Bacilli; Caryophanales; Staphylococcaceae. The record is from RNAcentral.